Gorilla gorilla gorilla (western lowland gorilla) is the source of this 76-nucleotide microRNA precursor. NCBI's taxonomy places the organism in Eukaryota, Metazoa, Chordata, Mammalia, Primates, Hominidae. The record is from Ensembl.
CGCAGGCCUCUGGCGGAGCCCAUUCCAUGCCAGAUGCUGAGCGAUGGCUGGUGUGUGCUGCUCCACAGGCCUGGUG